Molecule: ribosomal RNA, 440 nt
Filed under: uncultured bacterium
Lineage: Bacteria
Description: bacterial SSU rRNA
Rfam family: Bacterial small subunit ribosomal RNA
Source: RNAcentral
CUACGGGAGGCAGCAGUGGGGAAUAUUGGACAAUGGGCGCAAGCCUGAUCCAGCCAUGCCGCGUGAGUGAUGAAGGCCCUAGGGUUGUAAAGCUCUUUCAGCGAGGAGGAUAAUGACGUUACUCGCAGAAGAAGCCCCGGCUAACUUCGUGCCAGCAGCCGCGGUAAUACGAAGGGGGCUAGCGUUGUUCGGAAUCACUGGGCGUAAAGCGCACGUAGGCGGACUUUUAAGUCAGGGGUGAAAUCCCGGGGCUCAACCUCGGAACUGCCUUUGAUACUGGAAGUCUUGAGGCCGAGAGAGGUGAGUGGAAUUCCGAGUGUAGAGGUGAAAUUCGUAGAUAUUCGGAAGAACACCAGUGGCGAAGGCGGCUCACUGGCUCGGUACUGACGCUGAGGUGCGAAAGCGUGGGGAGCAAACAGGAUUAGAAACCCUAGUAGUCC